GCGACCCCAGGUCAGGCGGGGCUACCCGCUGAAUUUAAGCAUAUCAAUAAGCG
RNAcentral lists this ribosomal RNA (53 nucleotides) under Cerastium fontanum. RNAcentral describes it as "partial 28S ribosomal RNA". RNAcentral also lists the same sequence under 2 other names. Lineage: Eukaryota; Viridiplantae; Streptophyta; Magnoliopsida; Caryophyllales; Caryophyllaceae. The record is from RNAcentral.